RNAcentral lists this RNase P RNA (416 nucleotides) under Candidatus Saccharimonadota bacterium. RNAcentral's name for it is "RNase P RNA component class A". It matches the Rfam family "Bacterial RNase P class A". Rfam says of the family: Ribonuclease P (RNase P) is a ubiquitous endoribonuclease, found in archaea, bacteria and eukarya as well as chloroplasts and mitochondria. Its best characterised activity is the generation of mature 5'-ends of tRNAs by cleaving the 5'-leader elements of precursor-tRNAs. Cellular RNase Ps are ribonucleoproteins. The record is from RNAcentral. Lineage: Bacteria; Candidatus Saccharimonadota.
GCAAGUAAGCAGACAAUCGCCCUAUCUAUAUUGAUUAGGGAGGAAAGUCCGAACAGCUCGAGUACGGGUGGUUAUUAACGGUAACCCGGGGUAACCCGAGGGAAAGUGCCACAGAAACGAUACCGCCUGUAGCCUAUUGGCUUCAGGUAAGGGUGAAAAGAGGGCGGUAAGAGCGCCCAGCUGGUAUUGGUGACAAUACCAGGAGGUAAACCCCACCUGCUGCAAGGCUUAUGGAUCCUAGGUAGUAAUACCAAAGUGUACUCGCUUUGUUUAUACGGGAUACGUCGCAUGAUCAUGGGCGAACUAUGACAUAGAGAGUUUACUGUGAAAACAGUACUUACUAAGAGAGAUGAUUGUCACUUUGAUUGAAAAGGCAAUUAAAGCUACAGAAUUCGGCUUAUCGCUUACUUGUCCGC